This 625-nucleotide ribosomal RNA is filed under the name uncultured bacterium. RNAcentral describes it as "bacterial SSU rRNA". It matches the Rfam family "Bacterial small subunit ribosomal RNA", at positions 130 to 731 of the family's 1533-position model. The record is from RNAcentral.
CCAUAGGGUGGGACCAACUCCGGGAAACCGGAGCUAAUACCGAAUAAUACGUCAAGAACGCAUGUUUUGGAAAUCAAAGGAGGCCUCUCUAUAGAAGCUUCUGCCCAUGGAUGGAUCCGCGUCUGAUUAGCUAGUUGGUGGGGUAAUGGCCUACCAAGGCGACGAUCAGUAGCCGGCCUGAGAGGGUGAACGGCCACACUGGGACUGAGACACGGCCCAGACUCCUACGGGAGGCAGCAGUGGGGAAUCUUCCGCAAUGGGCGAAAGCCUGACGGAGCAAUGCCGCGUGAAUGAAGAAGGCCUUCGGGUUGUAAAGUUCUGUUGAGAAGGAAGAAAGAUCUAAGAGCUAAUACCUCUUAAGUUUGACGGUACUUUUCGAGGAAGCCCCGGCUAACUACGUGCCAGCAGCCGCGGUAAUACGUAGGGGGCAAGCGUUGUCCGGAAUCACUGGGCGUAAAGCGCAUGUAGGCGGGAUAUUAAGUCAGGUGUGAAAACUACAGGCUCAACCUGUAGAUUGCAUUUGAAACUGGUAUUCUUGAGUAUUGGAGAGGAAAGUGGAGUUCCUAGUGUAGCGGUGAAAUGCGUAGAUAUUAGGAGGAACACCAGUGGCGAAGGCGACUUUCUG